RNAcentral lists this ribosomal RNA (588 nucleotides) under Triticum aestivum (bread wheat). RNAcentral describes it as "partial small subunit ribosomal RNA". Lineage: Eukaryota; Viridiplantae; Streptophyta; Magnoliopsida; Poales; Poaceae. The record is from RNAcentral.
AUGGAAGUGUUGUCCCAUGAUUAGUAUGUGUAGCUGUCAGUAAUGCUUUGGGCGCUUUGGUCGGCUCGCCGCAAAGCUAUUCACGAAGGAGUCUUCCAGAGUCCUUAGUCCAUACAUGCAUUCAUUCACAGCUUCAUCAGCGAGCUAAACAUGAUCAGGGAGAACCAACCGACACAUAUGCACUUGGGUGGAUCACGGGCCACCCAUCCUCUACGACCUAAAGCACCAUCGGCUGGUUUUGCGAAAAUCCACAUUGAUGCCGCAGUUCUAAAAGGAAGAGGGGGCUCUGCAACGGCUGUUUGUCGAGACAGCCAAGGCAAUUUCCUGGGAAGCUCGUCAUUGGUUAUACAUGGAGUUGAUGAUCCCUCUACUCUGGAGACCAUAGCCUGUAGAGAGGCAUUCACUUUGGCACAAGAUCUCCAGCUACAACAUAUGAUCAUAGCAUCAGAUGGCAAGCAAGUUGUUCAGGAGAUAAACACCAGAUCCAGAGGUGGGAACGGAGCAAUUAUUAGUGAGAUCAAUGUUGGGGACCCAGUAAUUUCAAAAAAAUUCCUACGCACACGCAAGAUCUAUCAUGGUGAUGCAUAG